GCCAUGGCGCGGCUAUAAUGCAGUCGAGCGAUGGAUUAAGAGCUUGCUCUUAUGAAGUUAGCGGCGGACGGGUGAGUAACACGUGGGUAACCUGCCCAUAAGACUGGGAUAACUCCGGGAAACCGGGGCUAAUACCGGAUAACAUUUUGAACCGCAUGGUUCGAAAUUGAAAGGCGGCUUCGGCUGUCACUUAUGGAUGGACCCGCGUCGCAUUAGCUAGUUGGUGAGGUAACGGCUCACCAAGGCAACGAUGCGUAGCCGACCUGAGAGGGUGAUCGGCCACACUGGGACUGAGACACGGCCCAGACUCCUACGGGAGGCAGCAGUAGGGAAUCUUCCGCAAUGGACGAAAGUCUGACGGAGCAACGCCGCGUGAGUGAUGAAGGCUUUCGGGUCGUAAAACUCUGUUGUUAGGGAAGAACAAGUGCUAGUUGAAUAAGCUGGCACCUUGACGGUACCUAACCAGAAAGCCACGGCUAACUACGUGCCAGCAGCCGCGGUAAUACGUAGGUGGCAAGCGUUAUCCGGAAUUAUUGGGCGUAAAGCGCGCGCAGGUGGUUUCUUAAGUCUGAUGUGAAAGCCCACGGCUCAACCGUGGAGGGUCAUUGGAAACUGGGAGACUUGAGUGCAGAAGAGGAAAGUGGAAUUCCAUGUGUAGCGGUGAAAUGCGUAGAGAUAUGGAGGAACACCAGUGGCGAAGGCGACUUUCUGGUCUGUAACUGACACUGAGGCGCGAAAGCGUGGGGAGCAAACAGGAUUAGAUACCCUGGUAGUCCACGCCGUAAACGAUGAGUGCUAAGUGUUAGAGGGUUUCCGCCCUUUAGUGCUGAAGUUUAACGCAUUAAGCACUCCGCCUGGGGAGUACCGGCCGCAAGGCUGAAACUCAAAGGAAUUGACGGGGGCCCGCACAAGCGUUGAGCAUGUGUUUAAUUUCGAAGCACGCGGAAAAUCUUACCAGUCUUGACAUCCUUCUGAGAUCCUAGAGAUAGGCCUUCUCUCCGGUACAGACUGACAGGUUGCUGCAUGGAUGUCAUCAGCUCUGAUAUGAAAUGUUACCUUACUCCGCAACUGAUGCAGAUGACUGACUUGACAUCAUAGUUGGCA
This 1104-nucleotide ribosomal RNA is filed under the name Bacillus cereus. RNAcentral describes it as "bacterial SSU rRNA". It matches the Rfam family "Bacterial small subunit ribosomal RNA", at positions 35 to 1137 of the family's 1533-position model. Lineage: Bacteria; Bacillati; Bacillota; Bacilli; Caryophanales; Bacillaceae. The record is from RNAcentral.